AACGAACGCUGGCGGCAGGCUUAACACAUGCAAGUCGAACGGGUGUAGCAAUACAACAGUGGCAGACGGGUGAGUAACACGUGGGACCCUUCCUAGAAGUACGGAAAAACGCAGGGAAACUUGCGCUAAUACCGUAUACGCUCGCGAGAGGCAAGUUUUAUCGCCUUUAGACGGGCUCGGGUCGGAUUGGCCAGUUGGUAAGGUAACGGCUUACAAAGGCGAGGAGCCGUAGCUGAUCUGAGAGGAUGAUCGGCCAAACUGGGACUGGGACACGGCCCAGACUCCUACGGGAGGCAGCAGUGGGGAAUCUUGGACAAUGGGCGCAAGCCUGAUCCAGCCAUGCCGGGUGAGUAAAGAAGGCCUUCGGGUUGUAAAGCUCUUUUACCAGGGACGAUAAUGACGGUACCUGGAGAAUAAGCCCCGGCAAACUUCGUGCCAGCCGCCGCGGUAA
RNAcentral lists this ribosomal RNA (451 nucleotides) under uncultured bacterium. RNAcentral's name for it is "partial 16S ribosomal RNA". It matches the Rfam family "Bacterial small subunit ribosomal RNA", at positions 29 to 523 of the family's 1533-position model. The record is from RNAcentral.